CGUGGUGGCCAGGCUGAUCUCGAACUCCUGACCCUAGGUGAUCUGCCCACCUCUGCCUCCCACAGCACUGGGAUUACAGCACUGGGCUAAAAUGUCUACAAGUUCAGAUGGCUCCCUGGCUCCUCCUUCAGCCACCAUCCUCCCAAGGGAGAGUCAGUGCUGACAUGAGUCCCCUAAAAUUCGUUCAUCUUUCUGCUGCAAUGGAUAACCAAAGCAAGCUGAGUUCCUGACGGCUGCAUGGAAGUUAGCCAUCCAAGAGAAGAGAGGGCAUUCUAGAUAUGGAGGGCAGGCCACUGCUGCUGUCAUUAGAAAGACUCAUUUCAGCCCAGGCAAGGGGAGGAGAGCAAACCCAGAGAUGGUAACCUGCUCCCCUGAACCAGAGGAAGCAGAGACCUUCUCACAAGGACCAGGCGAGGGAUGGUCGAGAAGAUUCUAAUCCAGAUUCAGAAGAGGAGCUGACUGGCCUCUGGCAAGCCCAAGCUGGAUUACCAGCUGCGGAGGCAGAGGUGCCUGAGGUUUCCCAGCCCCCAGGCCAGAGGAGGCUGCUACACCCACUUCCCCCACGAAGCUGGGGCCCAGGCCAGAGAGAGAGCCCCAAAGCUGGUUUGGGGGCGGGGAGCUUCCCUACAGGCCCUGGAGCCCCAUAGGCCCCAAGACAAAGCAAGAGGAAUGAGAGGAAGCACAGCCGGGUCAAAGCUCCGAGCCACGAGUACUGAGGCAGGUGGUGGUACCCAGACCCCCUCUCCAUAGCUCCCAUGAGAGCACAAGGCGGAGGAGAGGACAGACUCCUGGCCUGAGGGGCCAAGCACCAGCUUCUCAGCCAGCUCUGCCACUGACUUGCUGCUUGGCAAGUCACUUAACUGUUCCAAGCCUCAGUUUUCACUUCUGGAAAUGGGGAUAUGACCCCCUGCCUGCCCCCUCAUGCUGGCAUAAGAAUCAAUGACCUGUGACAGGACUUUGUAAAUUAUAAGUUGGUAUUAGUUAGGCCUCUUUAGUCACAAAUGUGAGAAACUGACAUUAAAUGAGGCAAUGCAAAAGGGGGAUUCACCAGCUCAGAGGCCCAAGACCCAGGGCAGGGAGAGGAGGCGCUGUCAUUCCCUCUCACCCCUGCAUCUCUCUGCAAGUCAGUCUCUUCUUCCGCAAGCCUGGAGCCAACUUCACCUCCUAAGAGGAGCUUCUCUGCUCUGUCACUACCAACUUGAACAACCACAGGGAGGGCCCUGAAUUGUGUCACAUGUCCACCCAUGGCUGUGAGACACUAUCUUAUGCAGCUUCUUCUGGAAGCUUCUUAUUUUGAUUGUUGGCAUCAGCAUUAUAAGUUUGCCACAUUUUCCUGAUUCCUAUCCUCCUUGGACAAAAUAACAUAGGGGCUAAGGGCACAGGCUCUGGAACCCAGAUUACCUGGAUUCAAGUUCUGGUUCUGCCAUUUUCUCACUGUGUAACGUUGGGCAAGUCGCUUAACUUCUCUGCACCUCAGUUCAUAAAUCUGUGAAAACUAAAUGAGUUGAUACAUGGGAAGUAUGAACAAUUGUGCCUGGUGCCGGCCAGGGGUUCAACAAAUGUUAAUCAUUAUUAUUGUCGGAGAAUGAAGGGGCAGUGCCUGGGAAUCCCAGGAUGAGAGACAGCCUGAAGAAAAACCAUCCUGCUCCACCUACUCCUCAACCUUCUUCCGGGGAGAGCUGACAACUGCAGGAGCUAUGGCUCAACAAAGAUGUACAGAGCUAUGCAGUAAGCCCUGAGAAUUACAAAACUUGACAGACAAAGUCGCUUUUUCUCCAGAAGCUCAUUGCCAAGUAAGGGAGAUAGAAGCAUGAAGAGAUCAUUUCUAUCCUGUGCUGGAUAGAAGCGUGUGUAUGUCUCUGUGGGAAGCCACAGUGGGACAACUGGUCCAGAGAGAGCUGCCUGGAAGAAAUGACACCUGAGCUAAGGCCUGGAGCAGGGGCAAGAGCUUGCCAAGCAAGGAAAGGAGGGCAGGGCGUUGUGCUGUCCAUUGGCUAUUCAGUCUCGGCUCCAGAUCUCCACUUGUCAGGUUGGCGCUACUGGGGCUUGAUCUGUGCAAAUUACAUGUCCCCAGGUCAGCUGGUUCUGGCAGGUUCUUCCAAUAGGGGGCACUAGGAGACUGAGGUCAGGAGGAGAGAAGGCACUUGCUCUUUUGUGCUUGCUUGCUUCUCCCCAGCAAGCUUUUUGCCGCAGAAGCAUCCACUGAAGCCUCCAGCUUUCUUCAGCCUCAGCAGCUGGAAGCCAUGUGAAGCAGCUGACAAACAGCUGGAGGCUGAGAUGCCUGCUGUGGGGGGAGCAACAGUUUAAACCAGUGAGCAUGUAGCAUCGGAAAGCUUCCCGAUGGAUGAUAGCACAACGAGCCAGAUUCAUCUUCCAAAGCACCGCUGUCCUCUCCAAGCUGCAGUCUCUCACUCUCUUGCCCUUAGAGUAAGUCCGAAUGCCUCACCCGGGCCUCCAUGAUCCAGCCAAGCUGCCCUUGCAGCCUUUCCUCCCCGCACCCCACCGGCAUCCCCUGGGCUGCCCAAUCAGCCUCCACCAGAUUCCCAGGCAGGGGAGCCACGGGGGAAUGUCCAGUGUUGGAGCUGGAAGCCAGGGACGCUGACUUUAGAACUGUCUGGUUGCUGUGGAGCCUCAUGGAGUCUUCCCAGGUCUGUCUCCCUGUUUGAGGCUUGCACUCCAGAGGCCCCUCUGGGCAAUAAUGAACCACCGGGAGUGGUGCCGGGAUCGCAGACAGAGAUGGACUGCCUGGAGCAGGGUCACCAGGACCAAGGCAGUAACUCAGGUCUGUCAGCGACUUUGUCCACUUCGUCUGUCUCUCAGGCAAUUCCUAGAGCUGUGGGAGGGCCCAGGACAUGCCCACACCCAGCCACAGUGAGAAUGAGGCUGGUUGCUCCUCACUUCUGUUAAAUCAAACUAAAUUUGGCCUGAGAAAGCCUCUGUACUCACAUACUUGAGUUCUUACUUAGGAACAACAAGCUAACUUAGUACCUAAACAAACUGAAAACUCAACUCAGCAGUAUGCUUCUGUAACAAUGGCUGAGUCUCAGCCAGUCGCAGGCGGCCAGCUGUUCAGACCUUGUACCAAUGAGGAAAACGCUGAGCUGUAACUAACCCAGCUGUUUCUGUAGCUCACAAUUCCUGUAUGUCACCUUCCUUUUUCUGUCCAUAAAUCUUAUCUGACCAUGUAGCAGCCCUGGAGUCUCUGAAUCUAUUCUGAUUCUGGGGGCUAUCAAAUUCAGAAAUCAUUUUGGUUGUUUUUUUUCUUUUCUUUUCUUUUUUUUUUCAAUUAAACUCUGUUAAAUUUAAUAUGUCUAAAGUUUUUCUUUUAACAGAUUUGGUGUCAGAAGUGAGAAUACAGAGUAAAACUUCAGCAACCCCCAGGAACACCAGGGAACCAGACCAGAUACCUGCGAAGCCAGCUGUGCCCACUGAUUUCUUGUUUGUAACUGGAGGUCGUGGCUGAAUUUUCUCUCAGAUUCCAAGAUCCAAGAAUUUGUGUUCUCAGCUCUCCAAGUUUGUUUGAGCAAUCUUUGGACUGGGCUGGGUUUGGGAUUGGAUUGGAUUCAAUAAUCAACCGGAUUAGAUUCAGUUAGAGGCUGAGGGCCUCAGGUGGGUACCUUUUUGGUAAUGAGUUCAUCUCAAUUCAAAGAGCCUGGGACUCCACAUUCUGGGACUCCAGCUACUUUUAUGUAUAAAAUUAUGGGCCCAGAACAUGUGCAUUUUCAGAAAAAAUGGGUUAACCUCACUGAGACAACUUAGAAAAGAUAAUGGGGAAGUUUUAAUUUGGUUAAAAUUAUUUAUUUGCAAGUCAUAUGAGAAAAAAGGAAUCAGAAUCCCACAUAAAAACAAUAGUAUGUAUCCUUUAAUUAGUAUAGGAAGAUCUAAAAGACUGAACAAAUCAAAAAUUGCAUCCGUAAAAGAUUCUUUGCAAAAAGCAAGUGAAAAUCUUAAACAACAGACUAAGGACAUCAUAAAAGAGGACUAAGGCCGAG
Molecule: long non-coding RNA, 3992 nt
Filed under: Homo sapiens (human)
Lineage: Eukaryota; Metazoa; Chordata; Mammalia; Primates; Hominidae
Description: HSALNT0028416
Source: RNAcentral